This 267-nucleotide long non-coding RNA is filed under the name Nicotiana benthamiana. RNAcentral's name for it is "long non-coding RNA (NBEN_LNC020789)". Lineage: Eukaryota; Viridiplantae; Streptophyta; Magnoliopsida; Solanales; Solanaceae. The record is from RNAcentral.
UGUUAUUCAAAAAACGCCCCAUACAUGAUCACUCUACCCCAAUGCCUUCUUAUAAUCAAUGCCGGUGGCGGUCAUCGGCCAAGGCCGUGGGGCUUUUGCACAUUGACCCCAUCCACACCAAGCCACCUAUAAAGAAAAACUAAUUCUGCACACAUAACUUACACAGUCUCAUUCCUUCCAUACUUGCUUCUCCACACCACUAUCAACUGGCCUAAACCCUGGAUCACGUACAAAAUUAUCUAAUGCACAGCUGAAAAUCAGAAAUCA